RNAcentral lists this ribosomal RNA (397 nucleotides) under uncultured bacterium. RNAcentral's name for it is "partial 16S ribosomal RNA". It matches the Rfam family "Bacterial small subunit ribosomal RNA", at positions 523 to 918 of the family's 1533-position model. The record is from RNAcentral.
AUACGUAGGGGGCGAGCGUUGUCCGGAAUGAUUGGGCGUAAAGGGCGCGUAGGCGGCCUGUUAAGUCUGGAGUGAAAGUCCUGUUUUUAAGAUGGGAAUUGCUUUGGAUACUGUCGGGCUUGAGUGCAGGAGAGGUAAGUGGAAUUCCCAGUGUAGCGGUGAAAUGCGUAGAGAUUGGGAGGAACACCAGUGGCGAAGGCGACUUACUGGACUGUAACUGACGCUGAGGCGCGAAAGUGUGGGGAGCAAACAGGAUUAGAUACCCUGGUAGUCCACACUGUAAACGAUGAAUGCUAGGUGUAGGGGGUGUCGACCCCUUCUGUGCCGCAGUCAACACAAUAAGCAUUCCGCCUGGGGAGUACGGCCGCAAGGUUGAAACUCAAAUGAAUUGACGGGG